This 867-nucleotide ribosomal RNA is filed under the name bacterium E4R15aut. RNAcentral describes it as "bacterial SSU rRNA". It matches the Rfam family "Bacterial small subunit ribosomal RNA", at positions 53 to 914 of the family's 1533-position model. The record is from RNAcentral.
ACAUGCAAGUCGAACGGCAGCACGGGAGCAAUCCUGGUGGCGAGUGGCGAACGGGUGAGUAAUACAUCGGAACGUGUCCUGGAGUGGGGGAUAGCCCGGCGAAAGCCGGAUUAAUACCGCAUACGCUCUAUGGAGGAAAGCGGGGGAUCUUUCGGGACCUCGCGCUCAAGGGGCGGCCGAUGGCAGAUUAGCUAGUUGGUGGGGUAAAGGCCUACCAAGGCGACGAUCUGUAGCUGGUCUGAGAGGACGACCAGCCACACUGGGACUGAGACACGGCCCAGACUCCUACGGGAGGCAGCAGUGGGGAAUUUUGGACAAUGGGCGCAAGCCUGAUCCAGCAAUGCCGCGUGUGUGAAGAAGGCCUUCGGGUUGUAAAGCACUUUUGUCCGGAAAGAAAACCUCUGGGUUAAUACCCCGGGGGGAUGACGGUACCGGAAGAAUAAGCACCGGCUAACUACGUGCCAGCAGCCGCGGUAAUACGUAGGGUGCGAGCGUUAAUCGGAAUUACUGGGCGUAAAGCGUGCGCAGGCGGUUCGUUAAGACAGAUGUGAAAUCCCCGGGCUUAACCUGGGAACUGCAUUUGUGACUGGCGGGCUAGAGUAUGGCAGAGGGGGGUAGAAUUCCACGUGUAGCAGUGAAAUGCGUAGAGAUGUGGAGGAAUACCGAUGGCGAAGGCAGCCCCCUGGGCCAAUACUGACGCUCAUGCACGAAAGCGUGGGGAGCAAACAGGAUUAGAUACCCUGGUAGUCCACGCCCUAAACGAUGUCAACUAGUUGUUGGGGAUUCAUUUCCUUAGUAACGUAGCUAACGCGUGAAGUUGACCGCCUGGGGAGUACGGUCGCAAGAUUAAAACUCAAAUGAAAUUUG